Molecule: ribosomal RNA, 374 nt
Filed under: uncultured Nocardioides sp.
Lineage: Bacteria; Bacillati; Actinomycetota; Actinomycetes; Propionibacteriales; Nocardioidaceae
Description: bacterial SSU rRNA
Rfam family: Bacterial small subunit ribosomal RNA
Source: RNAcentral
UUGAGUAAUCUGCCCCUGGCUUUGGGAUAGCCACCGGAAACGGUGAUUAAUACCGGAUAUGACCACUUCUCGCAUGGGUUGUGGUGGAAAGUUUUUCGGCCAGGGAUGUGCUCGCGGCCUAUCAGCUUGAUGGUGAGGUAAUGGCUCACCAUGGCUUCGACGGGUAGCCGGCCUGAGAGGGUGACCGGUCACACUGGGACUGAGACACGGCCCAGACUCCUACGGGAGGCAGCAGUGGGGAAUAUUGGACAAUGGGCGGAAGCCUGAUCCAGCAACGCCGCGUGAGGGAUGACGGCCUUCGGGUUGUAAACCUCUUUCAGCAGGGACGAAGCGCAAGUGACGGUACCUGCAGAAGAAGCACCGGCCAACUACGU